GUGGGUAGUUUGACUGGGGCGGUCUCCUCCUAAAGAGUAACGGAGGAGCACGAAGGUUGGCUAAUCCUGGUCGGACAUCAGGAGGUUAGUGCAAUGGCAUAAGCCAGCUUGACUGCGAGCGUGACGGCGCGAGCAGGUGCGAAAGCAGGUCAUAGUGAUCCGGUGGUUCUGAAUGGAAGGGCCAUCGCUCAACGGAUAAAAGGUACUCCGGGGAUAACAGGCUGAUACCGCCCAAGAGUUCAUAUCGACGGCGGUGUUUGGCACCUCGAUGUCGGCUCAUCACAUCCUGGGGCUGAAGUAGGUCCCAAGGGUAUGGCUGUUCGCCAUUUAAAGUGGUACGCGAGCUGGGUUUAGAACGUCGUGAGACAGUUCGGUCCCUAUCUGCCGUGGGCGCUGGAGAACUGAGGGGGGCUGCUCCUAGUACGAGAGGACCGGAGUGGACGCAUCACUGGUGUUCGGGUUGUCAUGCCAAUGGCACUGCCCGGUAGCUAAAUGCGGAAGAGAUAAGUGCUGAAAGCAUCUAAGCACGAAACUUGCCCCGAGAUGAGUUCUCCCUGAGACUUAAAGUCUCCUAAAGGAACGUUGAAGACGACGACGUUGAUAGGCCGG
RNAcentral lists this ribosomal RNA (609 nucleotides) under Salmonella enterica subsp. enterica serovar Muenchen. Its description in RNAcentral is "partial 23S ribosomal RNA". It matches the Rfam family "Bacterial large subunit ribosomal RNA", at positions 2261 to 2864 of the family's 2925-position model. Lineage: Bacteria; Pseudomonadati; Pseudomonadota; Gammaproteobacteria; Enterobacterales; Enterobacteriaceae. The record is from RNAcentral.